This 301-nucleotide ribosomal RNA is filed under the name uncultured bacterium. RNAcentral describes it as "partial 16S ribosomal RNA". It matches the Rfam family "Bacterial small subunit ribosomal RNA", at positions 509 to 807 of the family's 1533-position model. The record is from RNAcentral.
CAGUAGCCGCGGGAAUACGAAGGGGGCUAGCGUUGUUCGGAAUUACUGGGCGUAAAGCGCACGUAGGCGGAUAUUUAAGUCAGGAGUGAAAUCCCAGAGCUCAACUCUGGAACUGCCUUUGAUACUGGGUAUCUUGAGUAUGGAAGAGGCGAGUGGAAUUCCGAGUGUAGAGGUGAAAUUCGUAGAUAUUCGGAGGAACACCAGUGGCGAAGGCGGCUCACUGGUCCAUUACUGACGCUGAGGUGCGAAAGCGUGGGGAGCAAACAGGAUUAGAUACCCGUGUAGUCCCUGUCUCUUAUAC